Molecule: long non-coding RNA, 789 nt
Filed under: Pan troglodytes (chimpanzee)
Lineage: Eukaryota; Metazoa; Chordata; Mammalia; Primates; Hominidae
Description: lincRNA
Source: RNAcentral
UGGCCUGCGCCCACUGUCUGGCACUCCCUAGUGAGAUGAACCCGGUACCUCAGAUGGAAAUGCAGAAAUCACCCGUCUUCUGCGUCGCUCAGGCUGGGAGCUGUAGACCGGAGCUGUUCCUAUUCGGCCAUCUUGGGUCUGGAUUCGGCAUUACAUGUCUUAAGGGAAAAAUCAACUCAAGAUGGAUUAAGGACUUAAACCUAAGACUUGAAACUAUAAAAAUUCCAGAAGAUAACAUUGGAAAAACCCUUCUAGACAUUGACUUAGAUAAGUAUUUCAUGACCAAGAACCCAAAAGCAAAUGCAAUAAAAACAAAGAUAAAUAACUAGGACCUAACUGAACUAAGAGCUUUUGUGCAGCAAAAAGAACAGUCAGCAGAGUAAACAGACAACCUACAGACUGGGAGAAAAUCUUCACAAUCUAUACAUCUGACAAAGGAGUAAUAUUCAGAAUCUACAACAAACACAAAUCAGUGAAAAAAUCCUAUCAAAAAGUGGGCUAAGGACAUAAAUAGACAAUUCUCAAAAGAAGAUAUACAAACGGCCAAUAAACAUACAAAAAAUGCUCAAUAUCACUAAUGAUCGGGGAAAUGCAAAUCAAAACCACAAUGUGAUAUCACUUUACUCCUGCAAGAAUGGCCAUAAUCAAAAAAUUGAAAAACAGUAGAUGUUGGCGUGGAUGUGGUGAUAAGGGAACACUUCUACACUGCUGGUGGGAAUGUAAACUAGUACAGCCACUGUGGAAAAUGGUGUGGAGAUUCCUUAAAGAAUGAAAAGUAGAACUACCAUU